GACGAACGCUGGCGGCGUGCUUAACACACGCAACUCGAACGGAAAGGCCCUGCUUUUGUGGGGUGCUCGAGUGGCGAACGGGUGAGUAACACGUUAGUAACCUGCCCUUGACUUUGGGAUAACUUCAGGAAACUGGGGCUAAUACCGGCUAGGAGCUCCUGCUGCAUGGUGGGGGUUGGAAAGUUUCGGCGGUUGGGGAUGGACUCGCGGCUUAUCAGCUUGUUGGUGGGGUAGUGGCUUACCAAGGCUUUGACGGGUAGCCGGCCUGAGAGGGUGACCGGCCACAUUGGGACUGAGAUACGGCCCAGACUCCUCCGGGAGGCAGCAGUGGGGAAUAUUGCACAAUGGGCGGAAGCCUGAUGCAGCACCGCCGCGUGCGGGAUGACGGCCUUCGGGUUGUAAACCGCUUUCGCCUGUGACGAAGCGUGAGUGACGGUAAUGGGUAAAGAAGCACGGGCUAACUCCAUG
RNAcentral lists this ribosomal RNA (468 nucleotides) under uncultured bacterium. RNAcentral describes it as "partial 16S ribosomal RNA". It matches the Rfam family "Bacterial small subunit ribosomal RNA", at positions 28 to 507 of the family's 1533-position model. The record is from RNAcentral.